CCCUUAGAUGUUCUGGGCCGCACGCGCGCUACACUGAACAGUUCAACAAGUCUUAACCUUGGCCGAUAGGUCUGGGUAAUCUUUGAACGCUGUUCGUGAUUGGGAUAGACCUUUGCAAUUAUGGGUCUUCAACGAGGAAUUCCUAGUAAACGCAAGUCAUCAGCUUGCAUUGAUUACGUCCCUGCCCUUUGUACACACCGCCCGUCGCACCUACCGAUUGAAUGGUCCGGUGAAAUCUCCGGACUGGCGUGAGUCGGAGCAAUCUGACAAACACCGGAAAGUUGAUUAAACCUUACCAUUUAGAGGAAGGUGAAGUCGUAACA
RNAcentral lists this ribosomal RNA (323 nucleotides) under uncultured eukaryote. RNAcentral describes it as "partial 18S ribosomal RNA". It matches the Rfam family "Eukaryotic small subunit ribosomal RNA", at positions 1470 to 1796 of the family's 1831-position model. The record is from RNAcentral.